UCCAUCGUGAGGUGGAAUCUGAAGGAAGCGGUAGGCAAAAUCUCGGUCUGAUGAACAAAAACCAGAUGAGAGGCUGAAUUGGGGCGGACGAGUUUGCUAAACAAAACGAAGUCCAACACUACCCGAACCCCAUACAGUAAAUCUGGCAGAUAAACGAGAUGAAGGUUAUCGUU
This 173-nucleotide non-coding RNA is filed under the name Thermohydrogenium kirishiense. Lineage: Bacteria; Bacillati; Bacillota; Clostridia; Eubacteriales; Syntrophomonadaceae. The record is from RNAcentral.